This 1350-nucleotide long non-coding RNA is filed under the name Apteryx haastii (Great spotted kiwi). RNAcentral describes it as "lncRNA (ENSAHAG00000017264.1)". The record is from RNAcentral. Lineage: Eukaryota; Metazoa; Chordata; Aves; Apterygiformes; Apterygidae.
AUGAUCUCCCCAGGGGUGGGGAUGCUUGGGGACCCUCAUUUUGCCUCAAGGCCACCGCAGGGCAAGGCCCAUGUGUGGCAUGCAGCAGGAGUGCAGGACGUCAGCAUGGUGUGGGUUGCGUGCCACCUGCGGUGGGCCAGGCACAGGGCUUCCCUCGGGCCCCCCGGGCCAGGGAUGCCCCUGCGGUGCCGGUGGUCUUGCCCUGGCCCGCCACACAGCGAUUGGCUGCCCGUCACCCGCGGUGACAGGGAUGCCACGCUCAGUGUGGACCCGACCCCCGGCGGGAGAGGAGGCCACUGCCACCCCUGGUGCCACCACCCCCGCCGCCUGCAGAGUAGCGCCUCACGCCAGGGAUUCGCCAUGCCACCAGCCACUGCUGACAMGGGGCAGGGCCACAGGACACGACGACAAGGUGAGAGGAACAACAACGGACAAGGACAGCAGCAGUGGGGGCCACAAGCAGAAGUGCCCGACUCCCUACGGUGGCCCAGGAGGGCUGGUAGAGGCAGAAGACGACAACAGAACCGAGGGAACUCGUAUUUUAAGCUGCAGACAGAGCCAGGGAAACAUGAGAAAGGAAAGUAUUUCAUGGAACAGGAUCCAAAUGCAUCUUCAACAAGUGGCUGGAGGAGGCAGUAUGGCCAGCACUGGUUUUCUGCACAGGGACAGCAAGGUCAAUGGCCUACCACGACAGCCUGGCAUAGUGAAAGCAACAAGAGCAACCAGCACCAUCAGUCUGAGCCCUUCCUCCAAGACUGGGCAUGUGGGCAGAGCAGCCCAAGAGAGUUCUCACAGCACUACUCUGCCACUGGAAAGAGGCAGCCCAAGGCUGCCCAUUCCACUCACAAAUGUUACUACUGCACUUUUUUAGGGACACAGCAAUGUUGUUGGAUGUUAGCAGGCAAUGGCAGCAGAUCCCAGAAGAGGAAUCCAAAAUGUUGGAACAUAAAACAACACCGCUGGACCUCCAGGUUCCAUGUGCCAGCAAGGGUGCGUGAAGCUUUGGCCACCCUUCUUCGUCCCAUGAACUUGUGGGGAUGGUGUGCACGAGGGAUGUGUGCACCCCGCAACACGACCCAGUUUAUUAUGAACCAGGUAUAUCAGGACAUGAGGAAACAGGAGAAGGAAGCCGCAGCAGCAAGCAAGAAAGCAGCAGCAGCAAUAUCUAACAUAGACGAAGAGGAGCUAGUGACAGACCUCCACAGAGAAAAUACCAGCAGUCCAGUGGUUGAGGAUUUCACUUCCACAGUCCCUUUCUCUUCCACAACCCAAGAGAAAGAUAUCUUUACAGAAGAGGGAGAGGAGGAGAGUGGACAGCACUUGAAGUGUGAGCCUUUCUGCCAAGACUAG